Molecule: long non-coding RNA, 539 nt
Organism: Passer domesticus (house sparrow)
Lineage: Eukaryota; Metazoa; Chordata; Aves; Passeriformes; Passeridae
Exons: 3
Source: RefSeq, a predicted model, not a curated record
GUUAAACAUUAAAAACAAGCCACCCGCCUAACUGCGUCCAAGCUGCUCCGCGGAGUCCUUCUGAAGAGUGGCUAAUUGCUCGCGUGUUCAGGGAUUCCUGAAACUCCGGAAGAGCUGGGAGUGCAGAAUAAUUUUUGACACUGCUGUUAGUCUCAUGCUUAGCAGUGGUUUAACAACAACUAGUGUCCAGUGUUCUGAUGGCCAGAAGCUGAAUUAAAACAAGUGUUGACACGAACAAGCAUCUCAGUUUCAUAGUUCUACUCUUACAAGUGGGAAGGCAAGUUACCACCCUCUGCUCUACACCUGCCAAUGCAGUUCGGGGUGGAAGGAGGGGAGGAUAUUCUGAUGGAUGAAAUAAAGAAGAGAGGAAUCAAGGCUGGAACUCUGCUGCUGUGUUGAAGGAUAAUGGCUGAUGUCUAGGACAGAAAUGACCUAAGGGGAUAGCCCCCAGUUAUGAUUAGAGUUGUUAAGGCAUAAAGUGUGGGCCGAGUCAGUUUAUUUUUCUAGUAGCAACUGGAGGAAUUUUAACAUGAAUUUAU